RNAcentral lists this ribosomal RNA (257 nucleotides) under uncultured bacterium. RNAcentral describes it as "partial 16S ribosomal RNA". It matches the Rfam family "Bacterial small subunit ribosomal RNA", at positions 524 to 776 of the family's 1533-position model. The record is from RNAcentral.
UACGUAGGGUGCAAGCGUUGUCCGGAAUUAUUGGGCGUAAAGAGCUCGUAGGCGGUUCUGUCGCGUCUGCUCGUGAAAACCUAGGGCUUAACUCUGGGCGUGCAGUGGGUACGGGCAGGCUAGAGUGGCGGUAGGGGAGACUGGAAUUCCUGGUGUAGCGGUGAAAUGCGCAGAUAUCAGGAGGAACACCGGUGGCGAAGGCGGGUCGCUCGGGCGAGUAACUGACGCUGAGAGCGAAAGCGUGGGGAGCGAACAGG